CCUCACCUCCGUCUCUUUCUCACUCCGGCGGCGUCGUCUGCUGCUGUCCCGCUCACCUCGUCGCCAUCCGCCGCCAUCCUCGCUGCCCGCGCGGCCGAGCGAGGCGAGUUGCGGCGCGGCGCGAAGGGGAGAGGCCGCGCGACGCGAUGGAGCCUCUCGCUCGGUCUCAAGACCCUCCCGCUCGAUUGGAAAGGCCCGAUGGAGGAGGAAGAGGCGGACCGGGAGCGCGGUUGAACGACAAGGACGGCGGCCAUUGAUCGUCGCAGGGGUGACCUGGCGCUGGCCAGCGUGAAGGGACUGGCGGUGCCGAUGGGGAGGCGGCGGCGGUGGACGUCUGGGACUUGACCGGCUCUGUCACCGGCUCUUUGACACCGAGGUGGCUCCGUCUCCACACGGCGGUGGUGGCGGUGACGAGGAGGAGGGAGCCGCAGAUUCCCCCGGAGGGUGACCUGGCGCCGGACACCGUGCAGGGACUGGCGGUGCCGAUGGGGACGAGGCGGUGGUGGUGGUGGUUGACGUCCGGAACUUGACCGGCUCUGCCACCGGCUCGUUGACACCGAGACAGCUGUGGUGGUGGUGGCGUGGUGGCGGCUACAACGCCAACUGGCGUCUGUGCGGCGUGAGUGCAGCAGCAGCAAGAGGCGGCGAUGGGUUCCGGUGCUCGUGGACAACCCUGACGGGUGAAGCUCUACCGGCUACACGACUCCAAUCACCGCUUGCCGCGUGGUGCCACGGAGGUGACGCCGGUGGUGAUGACGACACGGGCGGUGAUGCCGACAACGAUGGCGGCGCCGCCGAUGGAGGUGAUGGAGACUGCCGCUUAUCACUAAGGGGGGCGGGGGGGAGGGAGCCUGUGUUGGCUGAUGAAAUGUAAAAAAUAAAAUAACCUGUCAUGGACUGCCGCUGUGUGAAGCCCUACGGUUUAUUUAUUUCUCUCAUCGCGAUGCUCUGUGACGACCUGCACGUGUGGGUCGCUGCUGCUGCUGCGAGCUCGACUAUCAAUAAAGGUGACACCCACUAAAGCUGGGCCCGACUGCGGUGUCUACUCGGCACCAUCGCACGCACGCGGACACACCGGGCACAACCACCACAUGACUACACGGCCUUGACGGCUCGUCCACUCGCUCGUCCACCUGCCCACCCACUCGUCCACUCUCCCACCCACUCCACUCUCCCACCUGCUCAUCCCCUUGUCCACGAACCCACCCCUUCACCCAUUCAUCCAUUUGGUGGUCACCAACUCAUCCAACCAGCCACUCGCCCAUGCGCCCCUUCGCCCCUUAGGAAAUAAAGGAACACGUUUUAAAGUGUACAGGGCUGCUGCGAAAUACUCAAAAGUUUUAAAUAAAUUUAUUGAGUACGAGCUUU
Molecule: non-coding RNA, 1368 nt
Organism: Petromyzon marinus (sea lamprey)
Lineage: Eukaryota; Metazoa; Chordata; Hyperoartia; Petromyzontiformes; Petromyzontidae
Source: RefSeq, a predicted model, not a curated record